Molecule: ribosomal RNA, 310 nt
Filed under: uncultured bacterium
Lineage: Bacteria
Description: partial 16S ribosomal RNA
Rfam family: Bacterial small subunit ribosomal RNA
Source: RNAcentral
AAGAGACAGCAGCAGCCGCGGUAAUACAGAGGGUGCGAGCGUUAAUCGGAUUUACUGGGCGUAAAGCGUGCGUAGGCGGCUUCUUAAGUCGGAUGUGAAAUCCCUGAGCUUAACUUAGGAAUUGCAUUCGAUACUGGGAAGCUAGAGUAUGGGAGAGGAUGGUAGAAUUCCAGGUGUAGCGGUGAAAUGCGUAGAGAUCUGGAGGAAUACCGAUGGCGAAGGCAGCCAUCUGGCCUAAUACUGACGCUGAGGUACGAAAGCAUGGGGAGCAAACAGGAUUAGAUACCCCCGUAGUCCCUGUCUCUUAUAC